RNAcentral lists this ribosomal RNA (497 nucleotides) under uncultured bacterium. RNAcentral's name for it is "partial 16S ribosomal RNA". It matches the Rfam family "Bacterial small subunit ribosomal RNA", at positions 28 to 507 of the family's 1533-position model. The record is from RNAcentral.
GAUGAACGCUGGCGGCGUGCUUAAUACAUGCAAGUCGAGCGAACAGAUGAGGAGCUUGCUCCUCUGACGUUAGCGGCGGACGGGUGAGUAACACGAGGAUAACCUACCUAUAAGACUGGGAUAACUUCGGGAAAGCGGAGCUAAUACGGGAUAAUAUAUUGAACCGCAUGGUUCAAUAGUGGAAGACGGUUUUGCUGUCACUUAUAGAUGGAUCCGCGCCGCUUUGGCUAGUUGGUAAGGUAACGGCUUACCAAGGCAACGAUGCGUAGCCGACCUGAGAGGGUGAUCGCCCAACUUGGAACGGGAACAGGCACAAGACUACUACGGGAGGCAGCAGAAGGGAAUCUUCCGCAAGGGGCGAAAGCCUGACGGAGCAACGCGGCGGGAGUGAUGAAGGUCUUGGGAUCGUAAAACUCUGUUAUUAGGGAAAAACAAAUGUGUAAGUAACUAUGCACGUCGUGACGGUACCUAAUCAGAAAGCCACGGCUAACUACGUG